GAUCCUUCUGCCUCUGUCUC
This 20-nucleotide non-coding RNA is filed under the name Rattus norvegicus (Norway rat). The record is from RNAcentral. Lineage: Eukaryota; Metazoa; Chordata; Mammalia; Rodentia; Muridae.